Molecule: ribosomal RNA, 176 nt
Filed under: uncultured bacterium
Lineage: Bacteria
Description: partial 16S ribosomal RNA
Rfam family: Bacterial small subunit ribosomal RNA
Source: RNAcentral
GCCGGAAUUGCUAGUAAUGGCAGGUCAGCAUACUGCCGUGAAUACGUUCCCGGGCCUUGUACACACCGCCCGUCACACCAUGAGAGUUGGGAAUACCCGAAGCCUGUGAGCUAACAUUUAUGAGGCAGCAGUCGAAGGUAGAAUCAAUGAUUGGGGUGAAGUCGUAACAAGGUAGC